AGAGUUUGAUCCUGGCUCAGGAUGAACGCUGGCGGCAUGCCUAAUACAUGCAAGUCGAACGAGAGGAAGGAAAGCUUGCUUUUCUGAAUCUAGUGGCGAACGGGUGAGUAACACGUAGGUAACCUGCCCAUGUGCCCGGGAUAACUUCUGGAAACGGAUGCUAAAACCGGAUAGGUAGCAGACAAGCAUUUGACUGCUAUUAAAGUGGCUAAGGCCAUGAACAUGGAUGGACCUGCGGUGCAUUAGCUAGUUGGUGAGGUAACGGCCCACCAAGGCGACGAUGCAUAGCCGGCCUGAGAGGGCGGACGGCCACAUUGGGACUGAGACACGGCCCAAACUCCUACGGGAGGCAGCAGUAGGGAAUUUUCGUCAAUGGGGGGAACCCUGAACGAGCAAUGCCGCGUGAGUGAAGAAGGUCUUCGGAUCGUAAAGCUCUGUUGUAAGAGAAAAACGACAUUCAUAGGGAAUGAUGAGUGAGUGAUGGUAUCUUACCAGAAAGUCACGGCUAACUACGUGCCAGCAGCCGCGGUAAUACGUAGGUGGCGAGCGUUAUCCGGAAUGAUUGGGCGUAAAGGGUGCGUAGGUGGCAGAACAAGUCUGGAGUAAAAGGUAUGGGCUCAACCCGUACUGGCUCUGGAAACUGUUCAGCUAGAGAACAGAAGAGGACGGCGGAACUCCAUGUGUAGCGGUAAAAUGCGUAGAUAUAUGGAAGAACACCGGUGGCGAAGGCGGCCGUCUGGUCUGUUGCUGACACUGAAGCACGAAAGCGUGGGGAGCAAAUAGGAUUAGAUACCCUAGUAGUCCACGCCGUAAACGAUGAGAACUAGGUGUUGGGGGAAUAACUCAGUGCCGCAGUUAACGCAAUAAGUUCUCCGCCUGGGGAGUAUGCACGCAAGUGUGAAACUCAAAGGAAUUGACGGGGGCCCGCACAAGCGGUGG
Molecule: ribosomal RNA, 939 nt
Filed under: human gut metagenome
Description: bacterial SSU rRNA
Rfam family: Bacterial small subunit ribosomal RNA
Source: RNAcentral